GUCUAUGUCCACACCACCUUGAACGUGCCUGGUUCCAACUGAUCUUGAAAGCUAAGCUGGGGCAGGCCUGGUUAGUAUUUGAAUGAGAGAGCACAUGGGACUAACGGGUGCUGUGGGCU
Molecule: ribosomal RNA, 119 nt
Organism: Aotus nancymaae (Ma's night monkey)
Lineage: Eukaryota; Metazoa; Chordata; Mammalia; Primates; Aotidae
Source: Ensembl